GCAUCGAUGAAGAACGCAGCAAACUGCGAUAAGUAAUGUGAAUUGCAGAAUUUAGUGAAUCAUCGAAUCUUUGAACGCAAAUGGCGCUCUUGGGCCCUCCCAGGAGCACGUCUGUCUGAGCGUCGUUUCUCACAUCCAACACAGCAAUGUGUCGGGCACUGAGGCGUCCCGUUGUAACACACAGACAUGCAUCUCGGUACGUGUGUGUGUGUAAGCGAUCGGUCCCUUCAAGUAGAGCGAUCCCCGAGCUGCAGCAAGUACCCUAACCGGUCUGCUGGUCUCGGCGUGAUAGAAAUAUCGACGUCUGAGCCUGUAGAUGUCAAGGUGGGCUUUUGUACCUCUCAACUCUGGAAUGAUCGAUGGAUACGGAGCAGAGAAGAGCACGAGAGAGAGAGCAAUCUCUCGCGUGUCCCCCCUUUGCUGACCAACCAAGACCUCAGAUCAGGCGAGACUACCCGCUGAACUUAAGCAUAUCAAUAAGCGGAGGA
This 488-nucleotide ribosomal RNA is filed under the name uncultured fungus. RNAcentral describes it as "eukaryotic LSU rRNA". The stretch from base 1 to 125 matches the Rfam family "5.8S ribosomal RNA", at positions 30 to 154 of the family's 154-position model. The record is from RNAcentral. Lineage: Eukaryota; Fungi.